Ricinus communis (castor bean) is the source of this 2320-nucleotide RNA transcript. It is a transcript of the gene named ABC transporter I family member 11, chloroplastic, with no coding region annotated. The record is from RefSeq and is a predicted model, not a curated record. Lineage: Eukaryota; Viridiplantae; Streptophyta; Magnoliopsida; Malpighiales; Euphorbiaceae. The transcript has 14 exons.
UGACAUACGAAAAGAGUCCAAGACUGUUGUUGUUGUUAACACAUUACAAAAAAAGCUGCGGGAAUUGCAAGGCAGGAUAUAUCCUUCUACGGCCCAAUUCCAUAGGACUGGCUUAAAACUAUAUAAUUUUGACAAAAACUACUACAUAGGUUUAAGAUAAUUUAUAUAAUUUUUAAAUAAAACUACACUGCAUAAUUUUGAUAUAACAAACUAAACAAAUAUACCCAACAUUAAUCCCUAAUUCAAUCAAGUCUCCACCCUUGCAAAACCUUGUUGCUGUCUCCUCGUGGUGUCGCCUCCACCCGCUGCUGCAUUCUUCAUCGGCUGCUGCUGUCCCUUUGUUGCUGGCUGCUGCUGUCUACUCGUUGUGUCGCCUCCACCCGCUGCUGCAUUCUUCAUCGGCUGCUGCUGUCCCUUUGCUGCUGUCGCCUUAAGGUAAGACCCCAGCUGUCGUAAUGGCGACCUCCAUUUCAACCUCUUCCUUAAUUUUCCGAAGACCGCUUCAAUCUUUAGUAUCAUUUUCACCUAAAUCGCGCCACAGAUUUAGGAGACUUGAUGAAUUUCCAACAAUCUCCUGCAAUUACUCUUGCUUUGAAGUUAGGGAUGUUAGCUAUAGGCCUCCUGGAACACAACUCAAUCUCUUAAAUGGAGUUAGUUUUUCUCUUCCAGAGAAAAGUUUUGGAUUGAUAUUUGGACAAAGUGGGAGUGGAAAAACUACUCUCUUGCAGCUUCUUGCAGGGCUAAGUGAACCAACUUCAGGUUCUAUUUGCAUUCAGAAAUAUGGGAAUGACGGCAAUCCAUGUCAGUCUCCUAAACCGUUAUCUCAUGAAAGAGUUGGUAUUGUCUUUCAGUUUCCUGAGAGGUAUUUUGUGGCAGAUACUAUACUUGAUGAAGUCAUAUUUGGGUGGCCAAGGCAAAAGGGCAGCCUUCAAUUGAAGGAGCAUCUUGCUUUGAAUCUUCAGAAAGCUAUUACUUGGGUUGGACUAAAUGGGAUUUCUCUGGGAAAAGAUCCUCACUCCCUUAGUGGUGGCUAUAAACGUAGGCUUGCUUUGGCAAUCCAAUUAGUUCAAGUCCCUGAUCUGUUGAUAUUGGAUGAACCUCUUGCAGGGCUUGAUUGGAGAGCACGAGCAGAUGUUGUAAAGCUUUUGAAGCAGCUAAAGAAAGAAUUAACUGUACUUAUUGUUAGCCAUGACCUCAAGGAGUUAGCAGCUCUAGUUGAUCAUUCUUGGAGGAUGGAAAUGGGUGGAUUUCUAAAGGAAGAGCAACUUCCAGAAUAACAUGAGACCCUACUAUUGACAUCCUAUCAACAUUUGAUGGUCUAUUGAUGACCCAAAUAGAUAUCCUUGAAGGGGACAAAAUGCAGUUAUUCCAUUAUCUUCAGCACUAGCUUCCUCUGUUUGUAUGCCGCUAAGCGUAAUAGUGCUCACAUAACUGCUCCUUGCCAAUGAUUCAUUGCAACCUUCUUCUUCAGCUUCAGCCUCAAGAAACUUUUCUAGUUCAUCAUUAAGGAGCUUCAAUUCAUUCUCCGUCACCUCUGUCUUUUCAUCUUCAAUAUUCUCAAAAGACACUGGAAGUGUUGGUGUUACUGCCUCACUGAGAGAAUUCUGGUCGCAUUAUAACAACAGAGACAGUAGGUCCUGUGGCCACAUGACAUCAGUGGUCUCAGCCAGUAUCGGAUGAGGCUAAAAGUUAAUGAUUUCCAGUUUCUGUAAGGACCAAGGAGAGGAGUAAUACUUGAUCUCCUUUUCUUUCUAUUUAAAGAAAACCUGCAUUUUACCCAAAAUGAGUCUGCUUUUGCAAUGUAACACAGUCAUUGAGCUGUUCGUGGUACGUGUCAUGGAACCAAAAACUUGAUUUAGGCAUGAUUGUGACAUCAUUGAUGACUUCAGUUCGACAUCUCAAAUUGCCUUGAUUUCCUUUUUCUUCUCAAAUAUUAUUAUGGAGCCCACGUGAUCAUAGUUGUUGGCUCUGAUAUGUUUAGAAUACCCUACAAACAUAUCAUUCACAGUAAGCCAUGCUGAAAGUCUGUUGACAAAGCCAUGAGGUGAUCUUCAAUUAUGGACUUGGCAGUGAGUAUAACAUUGAAAAGGGCUAAUAUAAAUCCACUGUGGAUUAUAGUAACAAACCUUGACUGAUGUGCUUAAUUGAACAGGAUGACAGUAACAGAUGCACCGGUGCUGCAUGCCAUUUUGUGCUUUGCAAGGUAAUUUUGAUGUAGCAGCAUAAUCAAAUUUGUAAGACCUUGGAAUUAGUAUUUAAAUUAUCUCUUGAAUUACUCACUUCUUAUGAAAUGAAUUACAUUAUAUUACUUUUCCAAAAA